RNAcentral lists this small RNA (103 nucleotides) under Neptuniibacter caesariensis. Its description in RNAcentral is "RtT sRNA". It matches the Rfam family "RtT RNA". Rfam says of the family: This family represents a bacterial cis-regulatory element known as RtT RNA. The exact function of RtT is unknown although it is thought that it may be involved in changing the cellular response in relation to amino acid starvation. The record is from RNAcentral. Lineage: Bacteria; Pseudomonadati; Pseudomonadota; Gammaproteobacteria; Oceanospirillales; Oceanospirillaceae.
GAUGAUUUAUAGCCUGGAGGGUGAGAAGCCCCGAUGGGUUCGAGCCGAGCGAAGCGACGGCCCGAAGGGUGAGCGUUAGCGAAUAAUCCCUCCAGGCGCGCCA